RNAcentral lists this ribosomal RNA (405 nucleotides) under uncultured bacterium. Its description in RNAcentral is "partial 16S ribosomal RNA". It matches the Rfam family "Bacterial small subunit ribosomal RNA", at positions 30 to 526 of the family's 1533-position model. The record is from RNAcentral.
AUUGAACGCUAGCGGGAUGCUUUACACAUGCAAGUCGAACGAGUGGCGGACGGGUGAGUAAUAUCUCGGAACGUGCCCAGUAGCGGGGGAUAACUACUCGAAAGAGUAGCUAAUACCGCAUACUAUUGGAGCGGCCCAUAUCGGAUUAGCGAGUUGGUGGGGUAACGGCUCACCAAGGCCACGAUCCGUAGCUGGUCUGAGAGGAUGACCAGCCACACUGGGACUGAGACACGGUCCAGACUCCUACGGGAGGCAGCAGUGGGGAAUUUUGGACAAUGGGGGAAACCCUGAUCCAGCCAUGCCGCGUGUAUGAGAAGGCCUUCGGGUUGUAAAGUACUUUUGGCAGAGAAGCGGUACCCGCAGAAUAAGCACCGGCUAACUACGUGCCAGCAGCCGCGGUAAUUC